CUGCGGACUAUCAGCUUGUUGGUGAGGUAAUGGCUUACCAAGGCAAUGACGGGUAGCUGGUCUGAGAGGAUGAUCAGCCACAAUGGGACUGACACACGGCCCAGACUCCUACGGGAGGCUGCAGCAGGGAAUAUUGCGCAAUGAGCGAAAGCUUGACGCAGCGACACCGCGUGUGGGAUGACGGAUCUAGGUUUGUAAACCACUUUCAGGAGGGAAGAAAAUGACGGUACCUCCACAAGAAGCCCCGGCCAACUACGUGCCAGCAGCCGCGGUAAUACGUAGGGGGCGAGCGUUGUCCGGAUUUAUUGGGCGUAAAGAGCUCGUAGGCGGUUCAACAAGUCGGUCGUGAAAGUUCAGGACUCAACCCUGAAAUGUCGAUCGAUACUGUAGUGACUAGGAUACGGUAGAGGUGAGUGGAAUUCCGAGUGUACCGGUG
Molecule: ribosomal RNA, 436 nt
Filed under: uncultured Actinomycetes bacterium
Lineage: Bacteria; Bacillati; Actinomycetota; Actinomycetes
Description: bacterial SSU rRNA
Rfam family: Bacterial small subunit ribosomal RNA
Source: RNAcentral